RNA transcript from Mesocricetus auratus (golden hamster), 8374 nucleotides. RefSeq lists it as uncharacterized. The record is from RefSeq and is a predicted model, not a curated record. Lineage: Eukaryota; Metazoa; Chordata; Mammalia; Rodentia; Cricetidae. The transcript has 3 exons.
GCCUCUCCCCAGCCUACAAUCAAGCGCGCAUGCCCGGUGCACGUGCUCACCCACAGGUCGCUGUCGCAGCUGCCACAGGCUGAGCUCAGGGUCUUAGCAGCUCCACCGCUGGUGCUGUCUCUCUGGGCUCCGCGCUGCGCCUGGCCUCACCCGCAACAGAGCACGGAUUUGCACAUUCCCGGUCACUCACAGCCUGCCAGGCCCCCCCGUGCCUGCCCGCUUCCCCCACCACUGGUUCAGUGGCCACCAAGCAUGCAUUAGCAGCUGCUGCCACUUGCUCCCAUCAGCGGCUGCACUUCCCUGAGCUGUGCCCCGCACCACUCUUGUCCCCACAAGACUGGGUGCAGCGAUUCCAGCACACCCCGAGACCCGCUCACCUGCCCGCCUGCCCCAGCCCAGCUCUGCCCCCCCCCCCCCCAGCUUCCCAAUCACCUAGCGAGCUUGCUGCCCGCCUGAUCGCCUGGCCUCCCAGAGUUGCACAGAUCAACCAGGCCAUGCAGCCUGAUUUUACCCCUUCUGUCCAUAGGAUUUCACGGCUACUUAUAGCCGCAUGUCCCCAGGCCUUUCCCUCCCCAAAUCUGUUUGCUAAUUUAUAUACAAGCUGUUGUUAAAAUUUUCAGGUUCUUUUUGGUGAAAAAUCAAUCUUCUGCAGGGAAGCCGUGUUUCCAGAAGCAGUGUUUACACCUCCGCCAUCUGUUGGCCAAGCCGGGGAACUACAGAUGAUUUAACACUGCAGAACGUUAGAAAUCUCAUGGCCAACUGUGGAGAGCUGUGACGUGCUUCCGCCUACCACCCUCCCGACGAAGACUGUUCAAGGUUCCCGAAUAAAACUGCUUGGAGAAGAGUUCCCAAGUCACAUCUUCCUUGCUGGUCGAGGCAGUCAUGACAACUGGUGGCCCGUAUGGGGAACAGCUGAGGUCUCAGAACUUCUUGUGGUCAGGGCAGUGCACUGGUAAGUCCCCAGGUAAGCGGGGUAUCCGCGUCAAGACUGGGAAAAUAACCACGACAAAAGUGGGGUAAGGACCGCGACAAAAGCAGGGUUUUGUUGCUCCCUCUGUGGAUAAAGAUGGAGCGUCUUCGGCCUGCAAGAGCGCCAAAUCGAAAGUAAAAGGAGUGGAGGUCGUUUAUGGAUCCUUUUCUGCUCCUGGCUAUCUGGGUCUUUCCUUUUUGCCUGCUGCUGUGGAGAGUGCGUUGAAAGUUCCCAUUGGACAGGACAACUGGGUUUUCAAAGAUUUAAAGAUGGGAAACUCUACUUCUCACCCCAAUUUUUCUGGCUCUAAGUGAACUGCUUUGUUCAAAAAAUUUAAAGAUUAAAAAAGGUACUCUAAAACGUUUCUUAGAGGAGUGUGAUACCAUUGCACCCUGGUUCGCGAUCUCCAGAAGCCUUACUAUCCCUUCAUGGGAAAAGCUAGGCAAGGACCUUGAUUUUGCCGCAGAUCAGGGGACACUCAAGGCUGGGGUGAGGCCAGUUUGGAGACUGGUAAAGAGCUGUCUUGAGGAUCAAAAGUGCAGUGAGGCAGUGGAGAAUGGACAAGCAGCCCUAGAAAUGUUACAGGAAGAGAGGUCUGGACAUACAAGCACUGAAAGGGAGAGCACAAAGGGAAAAGGGGUUUACCCUGACCUUAAAGGCCUGGACGGGACGGAUACCUCUGAUGCCGAGGAAGGGUCAAAGACAGGGGAUGAGCAGGAACAGCGACAGGUGACAUCAGCGCUAAAAGGACUAAGGCUAAAGGAGAAGAGAACAGACAAAGGAGGGCCGUCCAGGGGCAUUGGCUUGCCUUCUGCUCCCCCUCCCCCGCCCUAUAAUCACUCAGGCGGUACGGGCACUGGAGCCUCCCGUUGCCCCUAGGUUUGGCGACAGGUCCAGGCUGACUUGCCAGUGGCAUUUCCAGUGUUCACUGACCCACAGGGGCAGAGGUAUUAUGAGCCCUUAGACUUUAAAACAGUCAAGGCCCUGGUGGAGUCGGUGAGAACAUAUGGGGUCUCUGCACCCUUUACUGUCUCCCUCAUGGAAACCCUCACCCGUCUCUGCAUAACGCCUACUGAUUGGAUGAAUCUAGCCCACGCCUGUCUCAGCCCAGGGCAGUACUUAGAGUGGAAGGCAUUUUUCAGUGAGUUUGCAGAAGAACAGGCGGCAAUUAACCAGACUAUGGGUGGCCCCGAAAGAGCUGGCUGGAAUAAGGAAAUGCUCCUCGGCCAGGGUCCCUACACAGUUCAGCAGACAGGCUACUCCAUUCAGUUUGAUCAGGUUAAUCAGAUUGCCAUUAGAGCCUGGAAAUCCACACCCAACAAAGGGGGGGGGGGGACAGGUAACCUCACAAAGGUAAUACAGGAGCCCAUGGAGCCAUUUGCUGAUUUUGUUACCCGCAUGAUUGAGGCUGCUGAGAGUGCUUGGAAAUGCCGAGGCAGCCAUGCCCUUGAUAAAGCAGCUGGUAUACGAGCAAUGCACUAAGGAAUGCAGGACUGCUAUCACCCCUUAUAAAAUAGAGGGAUGGAGACAUGGACAAAAAUCUGCAGGGAACUUGGCAGGCCGCUAACCAAUGCUGGCCUUGCAGCCGCAGUAGUCCAGUUAACCCGGGGCACGAAAGGGAACCCGGGUGCCUGCUUUAGAUGCGGCAAAAUAGGACAUAUGAAAAAGGAAUGUCCAGAAAGAGUGAGGGAGACUUAGUAGGCGGCUUUGACCGUCGGCAGCCUGGUCUAUGUCCCAAAUGCAGGAAGGGAAAACAUUGGGAAAAUGAGUGCCGGUCGGUAAAGGAUAUCAAUGGCCGGCCACUUGAGGCAGAGGUCGACAAUGCCCGGCAAAAAAAUGUCCCGUGGGGCCCCCGCCCUCAGGGCCCACAAAUAUAUGGGGCAAUGGAGAAUCAGGAAGGAGGAUGGGAACGGGGGACUUGGCCAACUCUCCGACACCCCAAGAACCAAGGAGAGCCACUACAGGCUCAGCGGGAUUGGACCUCCAUUCCACCGCCCGACUCCUAUUGACUCCCCAAAUGGGGGUCCAGUUAGUGGAGGCAGAUUUUCAGGGACCCCUGGAGCCAGGCACAGUGGGGCUUCUCUUGGGAAGAUCCUCCACUACCUUGAGAGGCCUCAGAGUGCAUCCAGGGAUAAUUAACCCAGACUAUGCCGGCACAAUAAAGAUCAUGGUAGAAUCACCCAGGGGAGUGACAGUUAUCUCCCCUGGGGACCAGAUCGCCCAGCUUUUGCUUUUGCCCAGUCUCCAUGAGCAAUUCGCUGCACAGCCUAAGAAAAGGGGGAAGAUUGUUUUGGAUCCACGGGGACAGACCUAGGUUUUCUGUCUCUGGACUUAAACCAGAGACCAGUCCUAGAACUUGACAUAGAUGGCAAAUAGGAUCUAGGCUUACUAGAUACAGGGAAAGACAGAAGUAUAACUGCUAAAAAAGACUGGCCUACAGGCUGGCCCAUACAGGCUCUUCUCAAACCCUACAAGGGCUAGGUUAUGCACAGGCACCGGAUAGGAGUGCUAGACAAUUACAAUGGAAGGAUGAGGAAGGUCAUUCUGGCACUAUUCAGCCUUACGUCCUGGAACUUCCGGUUUCCUUAUGGGGAAGAGAUCUUAAAGACAUGGGCUUUAGGCUGAGCAAUGAAUAUUCACCUGCUUCCCAAAAAAUGAUGAAAACCAUGGGGUAUCAUCCAAAUUACGGAAUAGGGAGGUACCUACAAGGAAGAAGGGAGCCGAUCCAAAUGCAGCAGAGAGAUUCCAGGCAGGGGCUGGGUUUUUCCUAGGGGCCACUGAGGAAGGAAUUCCCAUUACUUGGAAGACAGAGGAGCCUGUAUGGGUUCCUCAGUGGCCGCUGUCCUCUGAAAAACUGAGUGCGGUGAAGGCCCUGGUGGCUGAACAGCUAGCAUUAGGACAUAUUAAACCAUCUUUGUCUCCGUGGAACACCCCCAUUUUUGUUAUUAGAAAAAGGUCAGGAAAAUGGCGCCUGCUACAUGAUCUAAGAGCCAUCAAUAAUCAGAUGCAGCCUAUGGGCCCAGUACAACGAGGGCUACCAUUGCUCUCUGCUUUGCCGGCGUCCUGGCAUAUUAUUGUGAUUGACAUAAAAGAUUGUUUUUUCUCUAUUCCUCUUUUUGGAGGGGAUAGUGAAAGAUUCGCCUUUACUCUUCCAUCUCAUAAUCACGAAGAACCUGAUCAGAGAUUCGAAUGGGUGGUGUUGCCACAAGGAAUGGCCAAUAGCCCCACCAUGUGCCAACUUUAUGUUGGGCAGGCCAUUAAGCCGCUGAGAAAAGAAUUCCCUACCCUAAGACGUUUCCAUUAUAUGGAUGAUAUAUUAUUGGCUGCAAAAGCAGAAGAGCCACUGAAGAAGGCCUAUGUAAAACUAGUGAAAUUACUAGAAGGAAAAGGGCUAUUUAUUGCCCCUGAAAAGGUUCAAAAGGAAACAAUUAUACAUUACUUAGGUCCUAAAAUUAAUGAGAGUUGUGUAGUUCCACAAAAGGUAGAAUUGAGAAAGGAUAAUUUAAAGACCCUAAACAAUUUUCAAAAAUUAUUAGGAGAUAUAAACUGGAUUAGAUGUUUUUUAAGGCUACUGAAUUAUGAGUUAAAACCUCUGAAUGAUGUAUUGAAUGGAGAUCCGGCUUCAGAUUCCCCUAGGCAGCUGACCCCUGAGGCAAAGCUUGCCCUACAGAGGGUGGAAGAAAGGCUACAAGGUGCCUUUUUACAGAGAUGUAGAGAGGGACAACCCAUCAUUAUGUGCAUCCUUCCUACUUAUUAUCAACCUACAGGUUUGCUCUGGCAAGAGGGGCCAUUAUUGUGGAUAUACCCCCAAAAUAUCUCCUGCAAAAUCCAUUGAGUAUUAUCCCACUGAGGUGGCAAAAUUAGCCUUAAAUGGUAUCCAACAGUGCCCCUAAAAUGAUUGUGGUGCCUUAUUCCAGUCAUCAAGUCCAUGUUCUUUGCACCACAAUUGAUGAUUGGGCCAUCCUGUAAUGCAGAUUUAAUGGAGAUAUAGAUAAUCAUUACCCUAAACAUCCAUUGUUAGGAUUUUUCAAGGAACACCCUGUGAUUUUCCCAAAGAUAACUUCAAUCCCGGGUGCCCCCAAUGUGUUCACAGAUGGCUCCAAAACGGGUUGUGGAGCUUAUAUGGUGGAGGCGCAACAACCUAUACUGCAUCAGUUCCACCCCGGCUCCCCUCAACUAGUGGAGUUAAAGAUCGUGAUAAAAGUCUUCGAGGACUGUUAUUUGCCUUUAACUUAAUAUCUGAUUCUGCCUAUGUUGUUAAUGCUGUGAAAAUGUUAGAGGCUGCUGGCCCUAUAAAGGCCAGUAGUCCAGUUUGUUUGUUGUUUCAGCAGCUUCAAAAUUUAAUUUGGUGUAGAAAAAUUGCUUUUAUAUAGCAUGUGAGGGAACGCACAGGCCUUCCAGGUCCUCUUAGCGAGGGCAAUGAUUGGAUUGAUCAAUGGACUAGAGUGGAACUCAUUUUCCUUGGCUCCACCCUAGAUAAGGCAAGAGACUUUCAUAGGAAUUUUCAUGUGAAUACUAAGACCCUACAACAAAAGUUCCACCUUUCCCGAGCUGAUGCUCAGCAAGUGGUCCUGGACUGCUCUCAAUGUGUAAUUCAUCAUCACCCGCCCAAUUAUGGAAUUAAUCCACGGGGGUUACUCCCCCUCAAAAUUUGGCAGAUGGACGUCACUCACAUCUCUGAAUUUGGAAAUCUCAAAUAUGUACAUGUGUCUGUGGAUACCUGCUCAGGUAUCAUGCAUGCGACACUCUUGACAGGUGAAAAGGUGUGCAAUGUUAUAACACAUUGCCUUGAAGCCUGGGCUGCCUGGGGCAAACCCAGCCAGCUACAAACUGACAAUGGACCAGCCUACACGGCACAAACCUUUGCCUCCUUCUGCCAGCAAAUGGAAGUACAGUUACUCCAUGGAUUGCCCUAUAACCCUCAGGGUCAGGGUAUUGUGGAGCGUGCCCAUCGCACCUUGAAAGAAUGUCUAGAAAAACAAAAAGGGGGAGUAAGCCAAGGCCGCACCCCUAAGGAAAGGCUUUCUCUUGCCUUAUUCACUAUCAAUUUUUAAAAUUUGGAUGCCCAGGGACACUCUGCGGCUGAUAGACAUCAGGAUCCACAUGGCCCAGUCAAAGGGAUGGUGAAGUGGAAGGAUAUUCUGACAGGCCUCUGGCGCGGGCCUGAUCCCGUGCUGACAUGGGCACGAGGUUCUGUUUGUGUUUUUCCACAGGACCAGCAAGAUCCAGUGUGGGUCAGAAGGAUUCAACAUGGAGGACAUCUCAAGCGCCAGCAUGAUGACCCUCCUACUCCUUCUCAUGAUGAGCCAGCCGGAAAUGGCAGCACAAAGAUGGGGUAGUCUGUCGGUAUUCCCUAAGCCCAUGCCGGUGAUGCAUAAUGCGAGGGUUUUAUCAUGCCUAUUUGUUACCAAUCGCAGCUUAGAUCUCCCCUUUUUACCCCGAGAUGAGCAGAUCAGCCCCAUUGAGGAUGCGCGCCAUUUUGAUUUGCAGGGCAGCCUAUGUUUCUCUCUAUUAAGUAAUACAAGCUCAGGGUGCAUUCUCCUCAAGUACCAAGCCAUGGGGGAGGGGGGCGCAGGCUGGGAUGUGUCACAGGGAAGGAAUGUAUCCUGGAUUCAGGGGUGGUGGCCUGCCAAAGAAGGAUCUGGUUACCCACCAUUCCAACCCAUGUGGGCACCCUUUUGCGUAGAGGGCCCUCAGUGCCAGGGAAGCCUUCCAUGGUCAGGCUGCCAGAGUAGGGAGAUCAUUUGGGCAAAGGAGAAUUAUUUCUCCUUCUCCCCUGAUAUAAGUGUAAACAGUUCUCAGGCACCUGUUAAUGAGUCUUCCCCACAUUGGUAUAAGUUAGAUGCCUUUAAUAUAUGGCUGUUAGGUGGAAUCAACGGGAAUUGUAUGGAUUUAUCUCCUUUGGCAAUGGUUGGGGGACACUAGGAAUCUCUACCCACUCCUAAAAGAGUGGAGGAGAUGUAACCUCAAGUUCCCCCUUUCAGUGGAAGAGCAUUAAUAAUACCACCUUUUUACCCACCCCUGUGUGCGUUUGGCCGCCAUUUGUAUGGCUGGUGAGCAAUGGUAGCACAAAUGCCAGUGAACUCCAUUGUAAUCAGACCACAUGCUUUUAUGUUCUGUGCUGGAAUGCUAUGGCCUUCCCUCUGACGAUGGUUACCACUUGCCUCGUUAUGUGCCUGUGCCCGUGGAAGCUCCCAGCAGUUUGACAUAGUUUAGAGAGAUGUGAGAUUUUGGCAUAACAGCAGCCAUAGUGACAACCAUCACCGUUGCUGCUGUGAGUGCCACUGUUUCCGCGGUGGCCUUGUCAGGCACGGUGCAGACUGCAAAUGUUCUAAAUAAUCUCUCUGCCAAUGUUGCUAAUGCAUUAGACCUCCAAGCUUCGCUUAAUUCGCAGGUCAAAGGAGGUCAAAUCAGUGCAUAGAUUUAAUGCAGGAACAGAUUGAUACUCUGUGACAGUUAGCCCAACUGGGAUGUGAAUGGAGAAUGGCUGGACUAUGUGUUACAUCAGUACAAUAUCAAAAUUUCACUCACGCGGUGAACCUGUCUAAAAGGUUGUCUCAGUUUUUAUUACAGAAUUGGACAUCUGAGUUUGAAGAUACCAUGAGAGAACUCCGGAUGGCUAUUGUGCAUGUGAACUCCAUUCAAGUAGACCUGUCCCUUGCUAGUGGCCUGUCUUCCUGUUUAAAUUCCGCCAUGGACCAUCUAAAGGAAUGGGCGGGCCUGGGGGUGCUUACAGGCCUUUUGGUACUGGUCUCCCUGGUUUGCCUAUGGUGUAUUUGCAAGAUUAGAGUCACACAAAAGCGUGAUGCAGCCAUGAUCACCCAAGCCUUUAUGGCCAUAGAGGCAGGACAGUCCCCCCAGGCCUGGUUGACCGUUAUUAAGAACUGAAAUUCCUCUCCGACCGGGGUGCAAGGCUAAGCGCUGCACGAGGGUUUGCUUGUAAGCAGUUAAGCUACCCUCGGAAGACAAGCCGAUUGCAUGAAGGUUGUACCCGAGAUCCUUCCCCUGGGAAAAUAGGUAUGGGAUGGGUCUGGGCCACCGUAGGCAUAGAGUCUGUGGAUGUCACCAGCACAUUAUCCCAGGUCUGCACACCAGGGAUUGGGCCUCUAUCUUCACCCAUUCUGUCUUUAAUUAAAGAAGGGGGAACUGUGGAGAGCUGUGUCGUGCCGCACCUUAAAGAUGGCGCCGGCUUCCGCCUACCACCCUCCCAACGGUGAGCGCUCUCUGAGUAAACAACUCCAUAUUUGGCCAAGGCUUGGGUCCACAGCUUGCUUCCGUAUGUGUGGACCUAUCUGCUAUCGCCAAGUGGCGUGCUAGGUUGGCUAUGCCUAGGCCAUAUAAGCUGUGGGCUGGCUUUCCCCGGGGUCAGAAGAUUGUUCAAGGUUCCUGAAUAAACUGCUUGGA